Molecule: ribosomal RNA, 467 nt
Filed under: uncultured Bacteroidales bacterium
Lineage: Bacteria; Pseudomonadati; Bacteroidota; Bacteroidia; Bacteroidales
Description: bacterial SSU rRNA
Rfam family: Bacterial small subunit ribosomal RNA
Source: RNAcentral
GAUGAACGCUAGCGAUAGGCCUAACACAUGCAAGUCGAGGGGCAGCGGGGUAGCAAUACCGCCGGCGACCGGCGCACGGGUGAGUAACACGUAUGCAACCUACCCAUAACUGUGGGAUAGCCCGUCGAAAGACGGAUUAAUACCGCAUAACACAGGGGCUCCACAUGGAGAUAUUUGUUAAAGAUUUAUUGGUUAUGGAUGGGCAUGCGCAGGAUUAGGUAGUUGGUGAAGGUAACGGCUCACCAAGCCAUCGAUCCUUAGGGGAACUGAGAGGUUAAUCCCCCACACUGGUACUGAGACACGGACCAGACUCCUACGGGAGGCAGCAGUGAGGAAUAUUGGUCAAUGGACGAGAGUCUGAACCAGCCAAAUCGCGUGAAGGAAGACGGUAUUAUGUAUUGUAAACUUCUUUUAUCAGGGAAUAAAGUGCAGCACGUGUGCUGUUUUGUAUGUACCUGAUGAAUAAG